CGAGAAUCUUCCACAAUGGACGAAAGUCUGAUGGAGCGACGCCGCGUGGUUGAUGAAGUACUUAGGUAUGUAAAAACCUUUUAUGAGGGAAAAAGUUUAUUGAUUGUACCUCAUGAAUAAGGGGUUGCUAAACUCGUGCCAGCAGCAGCGGUAAUACGAGUGCCCCAAGCGUUAUCCGGAUUUAUUGGGCGUAAAGGGUGCGUAGGUGGCGAUAUUAGUCUUGUGUUAAACCCUUCAGCUUAACUGAAGAAUCGCAUAAGAAACGGUAUCGCUAGAGGAUGUGAGAGGUGUGUAGAACUCAUGGAGUAGGGGUAAAAUCCGUUGAUAUCAUGGGGAAUACCAAAAGCGAAGGCAGCACACUGGCACAUUCCUGACACUGAAGCACGAAAGCGUGGGUAGCGAAUG
RNAcentral lists this ribosomal RNA (405 nucleotides) under uncultured Parcubacteria group bacterium. Its description in RNAcentral is "bacterial SSU rRNA". It matches the Rfam family "Bacterial small subunit ribosomal RNA", at positions 356 to 774 of the family's 1533-position model. The record is from RNAcentral.